GACAGAGGGUGCAAACGUUGCUCGGAAUCACUGGGCGUAAAGGGCGUGUAGGCGGGACAGUAAGUCAGGGGUGAAAUCCUGGAGCUCAACUCCAGAACUGCCUUUGAUACUGGCGAUCUUGAGUCCGGGAGAGGUGAGUGGAACUGCGAGUGUAGAGGUGAAAUUCGUAGAUAUUCGCAAGAACACCAGUGGCGAAGGCGGCUCACUGGCCCGGUACUGACGCUGAGGUGCGAAAGCGUGGGAGCAAACA
This 250-nucleotide ribosomal RNA is filed under the name uncultured bacterium. Its description in RNAcentral is "partial 16S ribosomal RNA". It matches the Rfam family "Bacterial small subunit ribosomal RNA", at positions 524 to 774 of the family's 1533-position model. The record is from RNAcentral.